This 65-nucleotide transfer RNA is filed under the name Hypothenemus sp. BMNH 1040235. RNAcentral describes it as "tRNA-Ile". Lineage: Eukaryota; Metazoa; Arthropoda; Insecta; Coleoptera; Curculionidae. The record is from RNAcentral.
AGAUGAAGUGCCUGAGUAAAGGAAUAUCUCGAUAAGAUAAAAAACGUAGAAAUCUACCUCAUCUA